AUUAAAGUUGUUGCAGUUAAAAAGCUCGUAGUUGGACUUGUGUGCGCUGUCCGCGGGUGGCCUGCGCCCAAAAGGGCGUUUCGGUUCGGCCCCGGUGGCGCCUUGAAAUCUGCAGCUGGGGGGACGUUGGCCUUAACUGGUCGGCGACCGCACGCCGGCUGCUCGGUUACUGUGAGAAAAUUAGAGUGUUCAAGGCAGGCAUUGGGUGCAAUUGAAUACAUUAGCAUGGAAUAAUAAAAUAUGGCUCCUGCCGUAUUUUGUUGGUUUUGACUGGUGGGAGUAAUGAUUGAUAGGGACGGUUGGGGGUGCUAGUAUUGAGCGGCCAGAGGUGAAAUUCAUGGAUUCGCUCAAGACUAACUUAUGCGAAAGCAUUCACCAAGGACGUCCUCUUUAAUCAAGAACGAAAGUUGGGGGAUCGAAGACGAUCAGAUACCGUCGUAGUCUCAACCAUAAACUAUGUCGACUUGGGAUCGGCGGUAGUUUUUUCAUUAAGACACUGUCGGGACCACGGGAGAAAUCAAAGUGUCUGGACUCUGGGGGAAGUAUGGUCGCAAGGCUGAAACUUGAAGGAAUUGACGGAAGGGCACCACCAGGAGUGGAGCCUGCGGCUUAAUUUGACCCAACACGGGGAAACUUACCAGGUCCAGAGAUGUAGAGGAUUGACAGAUUGAAGCUCUUUCUUGAUCACUUCGGUGGUGGUGCAUGGCCGUUCUUAGUUGGUGGAGUGAUUUGUCUGGUUAAUUCCGUUAACGAACGAGACCUCAGCCUGCUAGUGUAGUCGGCUGGAUUGCCUUUGGCGAUCCGUGAUUUCGACUUCUUAGAGGGACAAUCGACGCGCAGUCGAUGGAAGUUUGAGGCAAUAACAGGUCUGUGAUGCCCUUAGAUGUUCAGGGCCGCACGCGCGCUACACUGCUGGGCUCAGCGAGUUUUACUUGGCCGAGAGGCCCGGUUAAUCUUGUGAAAUCCCAGCGUGCUUGGGCUCGCCUCCUGCAACUGGAGGCGCCAACGAGGAAUUCCUAGUAGACGCAGGUCAUCAACCUGCAUCGAUUACGUCCCUGCCCUUUGUACACACCGCCCGUCGUUCCAUAAGAGUGAGGCAUCCGGUGAAUUCUCGGGAGAGCCUGGGCGUGGCCAGCAAUGGUCUGCUCGGGUUUGAACUUGCAUAAACUUGGUGCCUAUGAUUAGGG
RNAcentral lists this ribosomal RNA (1187 nucleotides) under metagenome. RNAcentral describes it as "SSU rRNA". It matches the Rfam family "Eukaryotic small subunit ribosomal RNA", at positions 603 to 1783 of the family's 1831-position model. The record is from RNAcentral.